RNAcentral lists this transfer RNA (69 nucleotides) under Tropidophorus hangnam. RNAcentral's name for it is "tRNA-Ala". It matches the Rfam family "tRNA". From Rfam's summary of the family: Transfer RNA (tRNA) molecules are approximately 80 nucleotides in length. Their secondary structure includes four short double-helical elements and three loops (D, anti-codon, and T loops). Lineage: Eukaryota; Metazoa; Chordata; Lepidosauria; Squamata; Scincidae. The record is from RNAcentral.
GAGGUUUUAGCUUAAUUAAAGUGUCUAAUUUGCAGUUAGUUGAUGUAAGUUAAAGUUUUACAAGCCUUC